Ostrinia nubilalis (European corn borer) is the source of this 717-nucleotide long non-coding RNA. RefSeq lists it as uncharacterized. Lineage: Eukaryota; Metazoa; Arthropoda; Insecta; Lepidoptera; Crambidae. The transcript has 3 exons. The record is from RefSeq and is a predicted model, not a curated record.
AGUUUCUUUUACUACACCAAAAUUUUACAGCAGAUCUACAUUUUAUAUUAAUUUACAGGGUUAAAUCGGUUUAUAUUUUUAACAAACGAUAUGGGUGAUGAGGAAGCUGCGACUCUUGAUGGUCAGUUCUUUGAAUUCUCCAAGCUUUUGGACAACAAGCGGAGCGGCUUAACAAUCACACUUUACCGCUCCGAUUUCUGGAUGAGGCAAGCUAAAAUCUUGGACGAUAGAAAAGUAACCAUGACGGACACUGGAAUUCUUUUCAAUAAAUACAGUAAAUCCGAACUUGAUUUCGACGAGUGGUUAGCUUUCAUAUCGGACCUCUGCUUGCUGAAGGGCUUGAACGAAGAGAAGGUCCAAGAGCUGUUGACCAACUGUGGGCUUCCCGGUCAAAUUCCUGUUUUGGUACCACAGUACAGGGACUUUUAUCUCACUUAUAAACCCAAAGAAAAAAUGGCUAUGUAAUGUCCGGCAUUAUUUCUCGAAUUAUUAAUUUACUUUUUUAUACUUAAUUCAUUGGAACAUAUUAACUCGUACCUGGACAGUGAACUGGUAUAGCCGUUUUGUGAUGUCAAUUGUAUUAGAUGUAUUUUUAGAUUGUCUAUUGGAUUAUUAAAUAUCGAAUUUAGUCAUAAUAUAUUUCUUAGACAAGUUAUUACAUUUCUUAGACUUAUUAUUUAAUUUCAUAAAAUAAUUUAGUUUGUAAUUUUCCCUUUA